This 475-nucleotide ribosomal RNA is filed under the name uncultured bacterium. RNAcentral's name for it is "bacterial SSU rRNA". It matches the Rfam family "Bacterial small subunit ribosomal RNA", at positions 29 to 506 of the family's 1533-position model. The record is from RNAcentral.
AUGAACGCUGGCGGCGUGGAUUAGGCAUGCAAGUCGCACGAGAAACCCCGCAAGGGGGAGUACAGUGGCGUAAGGGUGAGUAAUGUAUCGACAACCUGCCCCUUCAUGGGGGACAACCCCGGGAAACUGGGACUAAUACCCCAUAACGUCGCGGAGCUGCAUGGCUCUGCGACCAAAGGUGGCGACCUGUUUACAGGGCUGCCGGGGAGGGAGGGGUCGAUAUCCUAUCAGUUAGUUGGUGAGGUAAUGGCUCACCAAGGCACUGACGGGUAGCGGUUCUGAGAGGAUGAUCCGCCACACUGGUACUGAGACACGGACCAGACUCCUACGGGAGGCAGCAGUGAGGAAUAUUGCACAAUGGGGGGAACCCUGAUGCAGCAACGCCGCGUGGAGGAUGACGCAUUUCGGUGUGUAAACUCCUUUUAUAUGUCAAGAAAAUGACGGUAGCAUAUGAAUAAGCACCGGCUAACUCCGU